Molecule: long non-coding RNA, 975 nt
Filed under: Cyanistes caeruleus (blue tit)
Lineage: Eukaryota; Metazoa; Chordata; Aves; Passeriformes; Paridae
Description: lncRNA (ENSCCEG00000021221.1)
Source: RNAcentral
UGCCUAAAGGCCCAGCCUCGUUGUGCUGAGGACUCUGCAGACAAAAUGAAGGCACAGUCCCUGCCUUGAAGCACAGCUCAGAGCAUCCUCAGGCAGCUUCUGUGCUGCAGUGGUGGAAUCUCCUCUUUAAUGGCACCAGGAAGAAGCAGCAGGAAAUGCAGAGUGAAAUUCUUCCACACAAGCUGCUGCCAGACCAUCGCCCACUGUGCCUGGAGAGUCCCUGCAUCCUCAGGUUGCAACUGAAGGAAAGCAACUCCAACUCUGCUCCUUUUGAAACCAGAAACCUGUUCCCUCAGUCCAGACAGGAUCUGAGCCUGGGCCAGCAGGAAUCUUUUACUGGCUGCUGCCUUUGUGCUUUGGAGCCCCGCAGAAGGGUUUGUCUCCCCAUCACGUGAGGCUGGAAUGAUGGGCUGAUGGUUAAGAAGCUGAGCUACGUUUCAGAAAGGAGGGGCUCUCAGCAAGCUCUUGCAGAACUUCCCAGUAGAGAAAAUCCCUGCACUGUGACAGUCCUGGGCAGUCCUGGUUUGAUGACAGCCAGGUCUGGUGGCUCCAGCAUGGGAACUUUUCCACUGGUGUUGAUAAUAACAAUGUGCUUCUCACUCCAUUCCCUGGGCUGCUCUAACAACUGCUUUGCAGUACCAAGCAUGGGAAGUUUCCUUUUAUGUAGAUAUUCCUGUAUGACUGUUACUGAAUAAAAGCAUUUUGAUAAUAGUUGAAACAGGGAUGGCUGAAAAGAUGUUUGAAGUGAGGGAGAGUUCAGAUGUUUUGGGUAAAAUUCACCUAACAGAGAAAGCUGAUAAUGUGUGAUGUAGUAACACAUUAAGAAAACAGGGAGACAAGUCUGCUACUCCUUCCCAGUAACCACUGGAGCUGCAGGAGGAGCUGGGAAGAAGGUUCUUUCUUUAAACAUUCUUUUUCUGUUGUACAAGAAAAGGUUGUUGCAUAUACCUGGCAUUUAAUUUUUUUUAAUACUCC